Molecule: ribosomal RNA, 327 nt
Filed under: Clostridioides difficile
Lineage: Bacteria; Bacillati; Bacillota; Clostridia; Peptostreptococcales; Peptostreptococcaceae
Description: bacterial LSU rRNA
Rfam family: Bacterial large subunit ribosomal RNA
Source: RNAcentral
GUACGCGAGCUGGGUUCAGAACGUCGUGAGACAGUUCGGUCCCUAUCCGUCGCAGGCGUAGGAAAUUUGAGAAGACCUGUCCUUAGUACGAGAGGACCGGGAUGGACGUACCUCUGGUGUACCAGUUGUUCUGCCAAGGGCAUGGCUGGGUAGCUAUGUACGGAAUGGAUAAGCGCUGAAAGCAUCUAAGCGCGAAGCCAACUUCAAGAUAAGAUUUCCCACCGCAAGGGUAAGGCCCCAGAAAGACUAUCUGGUUGAUAGGUCGAAGGUGUAAGUGCAGCAAUGUAUUUAGCUUAUCGAUACUAAUAGGUCGAGGACUUGACCAAU